RNAcentral lists this ribosomal RNA (262 nucleotides) under uncultured bacterium. RNAcentral describes it as "partial small subunit ribosomal RNA". It matches the Rfam family "Bacterial small subunit ribosomal RNA", at positions 26 to 285 of the family's 1533-position model. The record is from RNAcentral.
AGGACGAACGCUGGCGGCGUGCUUAACACAUGCAAGUCGAGCGAGGCCCCUCCUUCGGGAGGGUGUCCUAGCGGCGAACGGGUGAGUAACACGUGGGCAACCUGCCCUCAGCUCUGGGAUAACCCCGGGAAAACCGGGGCUAAUACCGGAUACGACCUCCACGGGCAUCUGCGGAGGUGGAAAGGUUUUUCCGGCUGAGGAUGGGCCCGCGGCCUAUCAGCUAGUUGGUGGGGUGAUGGCCCACCAAAGGCGACGACGGGUA